Molecule: long non-coding RNA, 1341 nt
Filed under: Lonchura striata (white-rumped munia)
Lineage: Eukaryota; Metazoa; Chordata; Aves; Passeriformes; Estrildidae
Description: domestica (Bengalese finch) lncRNA (ENSLSDG00000005447.1)
Source: RNAcentral
CGCGGCGCUGCCAUAAACACGGCAAGAUGGCGGCGCUCACGCCGCCCGCCCGCCCGUGCUGCGUCAUGUCGCGCCCCGGCCCCGCCGCGCCCGCAGGCUCGCCGGGAUUUGCGUUCAAGCCGCGCUGGGGAAGAUGGAGAUGUGAGGUCUGUGUGGCUUUAGUCUGGCUGAAGCAAAGCAAAAAUCUGUGUGUGAGAUGCAAGACAACAAACUGUGUUUGUACUGGGGGAAGAGCUGGAUCCUCCAGAGAAAACGGCAUCAGCCCUUGGAAUACAGGUGUGACUCCAACACUUGCUGUGCCAGAGGGUGCUGGGGAGGAAUUGUUCACCUUCUCCCUUUAAAAGCCUGAUAAGGAACUGCUGGAGCACGAGUAAAAUCCUGAUAGAGUGAUCAAAGUAUGCUUGAAUUGCAAAGCAGUGAUUCUUCUCUCAUCACCUCAGCCUGUGAGAUGUAGAAUUCCCAAUCCCACACUUAAGCCAUGCUGAAAUCAGUAGAAUUCCUCACCUGGAAUACCAAUGGUGGUUCAAAAACACCUGGGAGUGAGAGCCAAGGGCUCGUUGCUCAUGCAGCUCCUUCUCAAAACCCACCCUUGCACAGCCAGAAAACAUUAAUAUUUUUAGCGAGUUUUUGUUGUGCUUUCCUAGCAACAGCCAAUUCCUUAAUGAUUAAUCCCCAAACUGUGGCAAAUCUGCGAAUUUGGGGAUGCAUGCUGAAGUCAUCUGUGCUGCCUGACGUCAGCAUUGCAUAAUCUGUUGACUGUCCCCUUUUUAUGUAAUGUAUGUUUGGAGUUUGUUUUAAAAUGUGCAAAUGUUUUUUUUUCCCCUGCGUGCUGCUCCUCCUGUAUUCCACGUUUGCCUCUCCAUUGCCCUCUGGAGUUGCAAACUUGUAAGGCAGCGUUUUCGUGGCUGGAUCCAGCCGAGUGUUUUGUGUUUCUCUCUUAAAAACAGCCUCGGGAACAUCUCAGCACCUUCUCUUGGCCAGGUGAGUUAUUUAGAGUGUUAAAAAAAAAAAAAAAUCCCACAAAUUAUUGCAAUUUCUGCUUCCUGCUGGUGGAAACAUGGAAGCUUCUUGUGCUGUUCCAUCAACAUCAUAAAUGGACUUUUAUUGGAAACUUAGUUACACAUUAACUUCGGCACCAUGAAACCGUUGUGUUUUUUUAAACUCAUUUCAGAGCUUGAUGUAUCCAAUUCCCUCAGGCAACGUGGGGGUGGUAGGAAUAAUUUUGGGAUGUUUUCAGGAAUGCCUGGUUUUAGGGAAGAAAAAACCCGACAGGGGGUAAAGCUGUAGAAAUACACAACAAAGUGUGGGGGUGGAGGAAUAGUUCUAUGAUCUUUUCAGCAG